UGGCUUCAGUGUGAAAUGCUUCAGAACGUCGCCACAGAGUGAGAACUGAACUUUACGAAACUGCCGACAUUGAUGUUGAGCUCGAGCGACCAGAGGCUCCAGGGAAAGAGGCCCAGCUUUCUUUGAAGAAAGCUGUAGCAACCCUCCGCACCGGGGCUUAUUUCUCUGUUGAGCUUCCAGUUGCUUGCUUCUUCAAGUUGGCUUCAAUGCAUCACUCUUAUUAGUUGAAUCCCGAUGACAACGGGAAGAAAUACUGAUUGGCAAAGACGGUACUGAACAUUGUUCCACUGUAAAAGCAGACCCACCCAGGACCAGAGCAAACCCACCCAGCAAGGAUGGCUGCUGCCGCUGCGUGAAGUCCACAAACCAGAAAGCAGUGAAAAUGGUUUCAGAUUGUGCAAAGAGUUGCUUCAGAGAAGAUGCAACUAGUCCGUGGGACCAGAGCAGACCUACCCAGCCCAUGGGACCAGAGCUGCAGCAGCACGGCCCAGCAACGAUGGCUGCUGCCACUGCAUGAAGUCCACUAACCUGAAAGCAUUGUAAAGGGCUUUGGUUUGUGUGAAUUGCUUCAGUACGUCGUCGCCACAGAGUGAGAACUGAACUUUACAAAACUGCCGACAUUGAUGUUGAGCUCGAGCGACCAGAGGCUCCGGGGAAAGAGGCCCAGCUUUCUUUGAAGAAAGCUGUAGCAACCCUUCUCACUGGGGCUUAUUUCUCUGUUGAGCUUCCAGUUGCUUGCUUCUUCAAGUUGGCUUCAAUGUGUCACUCUUAUAAGUUGGAUCCCGAUGACAAUGGGAGAACAUUCUUAAAGAAGAAAUAAUGAUUGACGACGUUACUGUACAUUGAGCAAGGAUGGCUGCAAUGAAGUCCACAAAUCUAAAAGAUCUUUUCAUGGACUCUGUCUGACCAGUGUCAUGUUUUACCUGGUUGCAACACUCCACCCAGCGAGGACGGUCAUGUGUGGAACUAGACAUCAAAAGGUCAGAGACGGCAAACAACCAGAGAGAACAUCUUUUUGUGCUGAAGACUCUCGAGAGUCUGUGACCAGUAGAUGGCAGUUUUAUCUAUGGAUGUGUGGUGUGGGUGUGUGUUAUCUGUGGAUCUGGAGUCCUCGCCGGAGUCCUCGCCGGAGUCAUCGCCGGAUUCAGGUAAGGAAAACUUGGCAAAAUCCGACCUCCACUUUUAACUUUGUUUGGCAAUUCAUCUCUUUGAUAGAUUUUGGAAUUUAGUUAUUUUUUUAUUUUUUUAAUUUCCCAUGAGCAACUGUACUUAACCAACAAUCUACUAAUGUAUUCAGAGACGCAAUGUACUUACACUUCGAUUUUUGAUGCAGUACAAAAGAAAAAGCCCAAAUUGAUGUGUUUAAACGUUGAUUAUUUAAUUGAACUGAUUGUUAACACUUCAUUAGUAUAAAACUGCUUGACCAAUUAACCUUUCUAAAAAGUAUUGAAAAACAAAGUUAUACUAUUAAAUAGCGCUUUAGGGUAAAACAAAACAAAAUUCAUGUGUUUUCACAUAAUUUGUUUUUAUUGAAUUGAAUUGUAAUAAUUUAUCAGUUAAAAACUGCUUAAAUUAUUAGACAUUUUCGAAAAAGUAACGAAAAACAAAGUUACAUUGUUAAAAGAGCGCUAUAGUGGAGGUCGGAAAAUGCAAGUUGACCUUAAGGUGUAAAAGUCUUCAAGAAGUGUGUGAAGUCAGCGAAGGGUAAGAGGAGAUCUAACCCGCUCUCUUGCAGAGUCCAACCCCCGUUGAGCCCCCGCCCCAAUGUUCGUCGAUCUUGUUGAUGUGUCCUUGCUAGUAGAGAUUUCAAGGUGACCUCAUCAGAGUUUCCUCGGGGUUUCUUAAUUUGCAUAUUGGUCGAAGCCGAUGAUGCUUGUUAGUUAGGAGACCAUAGUCUUUCUGGAAAUUUCUGUUGGGUUGGUACUUCAAGUCUCAUCAGUUGUUUUGUUUAUUUAAAAUUGUUGUGAUUUUAUAUUAAAAAUAGCGCAAUGCUUUAAAAGGUCUAUUUACGUCUUUAGAAGGGCAAUAAAACAACCCUCCCAAAACCCACCAAAUGUCUUGGAGGUUACCAUGGAAUGUCUUUAGAAGGGCAAUUGCCCUGGGCAAUAACCCCCCCCCCCCCCAACCCACCAAAUGUCUUAGAUUUAACCAUGGAGUGUCUUUAGAAGGGCAAUUGCCCUGGGCAAUAACACAACCCUCCCAAAACCCACCAAGUGUCUUGUCUUAGAGGUAACCUCAAAGUGUCUUUAGAAGGGCUAUAGCCCUGGGCAAUAAACCCCCCCCCCAAAAAAAAAAAAAAGUCUUAGAGGUAAUUGUCAGUCCCAUUAAUGAUUGAUUAGUGUUUGAUUUUGGAGUGGAAAAUAUAAAAUUUAGACCACAGCUAAAUUAAUAUUUACCAUCUGAAUAUCAGCAUCACAUCAAUCAUGACCAUAAGAAAACAUGUCUCGGACCCGUACCCAUUUAAAUAAAGGUUCAAGUGACAAAUUAGGAGGGGGACCUGUUACAAAUACAUACAACAAGUUAAAGGUAUUUUUCAUAACUGCAAACUGCGACAAAAAUAAGCGAAAUGCGAAAAACUUCUCUAAGCUAUUUAUUUGUGAGCGCUGCGAUAAAGACAAGGAAAGAAGAAAGAAGAAAAAGAAGAAGGAAAGAGAAAAAAGGCAGAAGAAGAAAAAAAGGAGCAGAUCCUCCAUGGGAAAAAGACAUCACCAAUGUUUGGGUUUGUAUGGGUGGUAACCCAGUAUAAAGGCCUAGAGUAUUGAAAAAUGUGGCUUUUGAAAAAUGCUCUCUUUCAGCACGAUCAUUGGCUAUGGGUAAAGUAUAAAAGAUAUGACUGGUGUAAGUCUUAGUCUUGAUUCUAAGAUACUCAAUCUUGAAGCAAGAUUAAGAGCUACCCAGUCAUCAGUAAAGCCACAACUUGAGAAGACUCUCCCUUUGAUGUCCCGAUCAUUGGCUAUGGGUAAAGUACAAAAGAUAUGACUGGUGUAAGUCUUAGUCUUGAUUCUAAGAUACACAAUCUUGAAGCAAGAUUAAGAGCUACCCAGUCAUCAGUAAAGCCACAACUUGAGAAGACUCUCCCUUUGAUGUCCCUGAUGAGUGACUGGAUGUGACGUCGGGUAAUUGCAGCAGAGGUUAAGUAUCCGGGUCUAACAAGCGUUCUUUUCACAGCGACUAACAAGCGUUUCUUUCACAGCACUAACAAGCGUUUCUUUCACAGCGACUAACAAGCGUUUUUUCACAUUGACCAGUCUAGGCCUAGAGUA
Long non-coding RNA from Asterias rubens (European starfish), 3263 nucleotides. RefSeq lists it as uncharacterized. The transcript is spliced from 5 exons. The record is from RefSeq and is a predicted model, not a curated record. NCBI's taxonomy places the organism in Eukaryota, Metazoa, Echinodermata, Asteroidea, Forcipulatida, Asteriidae.